UAUUUUUGCACUUUGAUAGAAAAUCUAUCAUUGCAUAAUAAUUAUUGAAACAAUAUUGGCAUG
RNAcentral lists this non-coding RNA (63 nucleotides) under unclassified sequences. RNAcentral's name for it is "S15-Flavobacteria ribosomal protein leader". It matches the Rfam family "S15-Flavobacteria ribosomal protein leader". The record is from RNAcentral.